UACGUAGGUGGCAAGCGUUAUCCGGAUUUAUUGGGCGUAAAGGGAACGCAGGCGGUCUUUUAAGUCUGAUGUGAUAGCCUUCGGCUUAACCGGAGUAGUGCAUUGGAAACUGGGAGACUUGAGUGCAGAAGAGGAGAGUGGAACUCCAUGUGUAGCGGUGAAAUGCGUAGAUAUAUGGAAGAACACCAGUGGCGAAAGCGGCUCUCUGGUCUGUAACUGACGCUGAGGUUCGAAAGCGUGAGUAGCAAACAGG
RNAcentral lists this ribosomal RNA (253 nucleotides) under uncultured bacterium. RNAcentral describes it as "partial 16S ribosomal RNA". It matches the Rfam family "Bacterial small subunit ribosomal RNA", at positions 524 to 776 of the family's 1533-position model. The record is from RNAcentral.